GGUUGAUUUUGGACGAAAAUAAUUAAAUUAAGACAAGAACAAAGUAAACAAAUUCUUAGACAAAUUUAAGUUAAUCAAAACAGAUUGUAAAAUGAAUUUGAAUGAAACUUAUGAAUGGAAGGCUAGCUAGGAGGUUCUUCUCCACACAUGUCACACUUGCAUACAAAAUGAUUUCCAGUUGCUUUUCGAUAAGCUAUGAAUACUCAACGCCCCAAAUUAACCGUGAAU
RNAcentral lists this long non-coding RNA (228 nucleotides) under Malus domestica (apple). RNAcentral's name for it is "long non-coding RNA (MDOM_LNC017086)". The record is from RNAcentral. Lineage: Eukaryota; Viridiplantae; Streptophyta; Magnoliopsida; Rosales; Rosaceae.